Molecule: ribosomal RNA, 253 nt
Filed under: uncultured bacterium
Lineage: Bacteria
Description: partial 16S ribosomal RNA
Rfam family: Bacterial small subunit ribosomal RNA
Source: RNAcentral
UACGUAGGGGGCUAGCGUUGUCCGGAUUUAUUGGGCGUAAAGAGCUUGUAGGCGGUUUGUCGCGUCUGCUGUGAAAUUUCGGGGCUCAACCCCGAACUUGCAGUGGGUACGGGCAGACUAGAGUGUGGUAGGGGAGACUGGAAUUCCUGGUGUAGCGGUGAAAUGCGCAGAUAUCAGGAGGAACACCGAUGGCGAAGGCAGGUCUCUGGGCCAUAACUGACGCUGAGAAGCGAAAGCAUGGGGAGCGAACAGG